CUGUGAGCUCGAUGAGUAGGGCGGGACACGUGGUAUCCUGUCUGAAUAUGGGGGGACCAUCCUCCAAGGCUAAAUACUCCUGACUGACCGAUAGUGAACCAGUACCGUGAGGGAAAGGCGAAAAGAACCCCGGCGAGGGGAGUGAAAAAGAACCUGAAACCGUGUACGUACAAGCAGUGGGAGCACGCUUCGGCGUGUGACUGCGUACCUUUUGUAUAAUGGGUCAGCGACUUAUAUUCUGUAGCAAGGUUAACCGAAUAGGGGAGCCGAAGGGAAACCGAGUCUUAACUGGGCGUUAAGUUGCAGGGUAUAGACCCGAAACCCGGUGAUCUAGCCAUGGGCAGGUUGAAGGUUGGGUAACACUAACUGGAGGACCGAACCGACUAAUGUUGAAAAAUUAGCGGAUGACUUGUGGCUGGGGGUGAAAGGCCAAUCAAACCGGGAGAUAGCUGGUUCUCCCCGAAAGCUAUUUAGGUAGCGCCUCGUGAAUUCAUCUCCGGGGGUAGAGCACUGUUUCGGCAAGGGGGUCAUCCCGACUUACCAACCCGAUGCAAACUGCGAAUACCGGAGAAUGUUAUCACGGGAGACACACGGCGGGUGCUAACGUCCGUCGUGAAGAGGGAAACAACCCAGACCGCCAGCUAAGGUCCCAAAGUCAUGGUUAAGUGGGAAACGAUGUGGGAAGGCCCAGACAGCCAGGAUGUUGGCUUAGAAGCAGCCAUCAUUUAAAGAAAGCGUAAUAGCUCACUGGUCGAGUCGGCCUGCGCGGAAGAUGUAACGGGGCUAAACCAUGCACCGAAGCUGCGGCAGCGACACUAUGUGUUGUUGGGUAGGGGAGCGUUCUGUAAGCCUGUGAAGGUGGCCUGUGAGGGUUGCUGGAGGUAUCAGAAGUGCGAAUGCUGACAUAAGUAACGAUAAAGCGGGUGAAAAGCCCGCUCGCCGGAAGACCAAGGGUUCCUGUCCAACGUUAAUCGGGGCAGGGUGAGUCGACCCCUAAGGCGAGGCCGAAAGGCGUAGUCGAUGGGAAACAGGUUAAUAUUCCUGUACUUGGUGUUACUGCGAAGGGGGGACGGAGAAGGCUAUGUUGGCCGGGCGACGGUUGUCCCGGUUUAAGCGUGUAGGCUGGUUUUCCAGGCAAAUCCGGAAAAUCAAGGCUGAGGCGUGAUGACGAGGCACUACGGUGCUGAAGCAACAAAUGCCCUGCUUCCAGGAAAAGCCUCUAAGCAUCAGGUAACAUCAAAUCGUACCCCAAACCGACACAGGUGGUCAGGUAGAGAAUACCAAGGCGCUUGAGAGAACUCGGGUGAAGGAACUAGGCAAAAUGGUGCCGUAACUUCGGGAGAAGGCACGCUGAUAUGUAGGUGAAGCGCCUCGCGGGUGGAGCUGAAAUCAGUCGAAGAUACCAGCUGGCUGCAACUGUUUAUUAAAAACACAGCACUGUGCAAACACGAAAGUGGACGUAUACGGUGUGACGCCUGCCCGGUGCCGGAAGGUUAAUUGAUGGGGUUAGCGCAAGCGAAGCUCUUGAUCGAAGCCCCGGUAAACGGCGGCCGUAACUAUAACGGUCCUAAGGUAGCGAAAUUCCUUGUCGGGUAAGUUCCGACCUGCACGAAUGGCGUAAUGAUGGCCAGGCUGUCUCCACCCGAGACUCAGUGAAAUUGAACUCGCUGUGAAGAUGCAGUGUACCCGCGGCAAGACGGAAAGACCCCGUGAACCUUUACUAUAGCUUGACACUGAACAUUGAGCCUUGAUGUGUAGGAUAGGUGGGAGGCUUUGAAGUGUGGACGCCAGUCUGCAUGGAGCCGACCUUGAAAUACCACCCUUUAAUGUUUGAUGUUCUAACGUUGGCCCCUGAUCGGGGUUGCGGACAGUGUCUGGUGGGUAGUUUGACUGGGGCGGUCUCCUCCUAAAGAGUAACGGAGGAGCACGAAGGUUGGCUAAUCCUGGUCGGACAUCAGGAGGUUAGUGCAAUGGCAUAAGCCAGCUUGACUGCGAGCGUGACGGCGCGAGCAGGUGCGAAAGCAGGUCAUAGUGAUCCGGUGGUUCUGAAUGGAAGGGCCAUCGCUCAACGGAUAAAAGGUACUCCGGGGAUAACAGGCUGAUACCGCCCAAGAGUUCAUAUCGACGGCGGUGUUUGGCACCUCGAUGUCGGCUCAUCACAUCCUGGGGCUGAAGUAGGUCCCAAGGGUAUGGCUGUUCGCCAUUUAAAGUGGUACGCGAGCUGGGUUUAGAACGUCGUGAGACAGUUCGGUCCCUAUCUGCCGUGGGCGCUGGAGAACUGAGGGGGGCUGCUCCUAGUACGAGAGGACCGGAGUGGACGCAUCACUGGUGUUCGGGUUGUCAUGCCAAUGGCACUGCCCGGUAGCUAAAUGCGGAAGAGAUAAGUGCUGAAAGCAUCUAAGCACGAAACUUGCCCCGAGAUGAGUUCUCCCUGACUCCCUGAGAGUCCUGAAGGAACGUUGAAGACGACGACGUUGAUAGGCCGGGUGUGUAAGCGCAGCGAUGCGUUGAGCUAACCGGUACUAAUGAACCGUGAGGCUUAACCUU
RNAcentral lists this ribosomal RNA (2547 nucleotides) under Escherichia coli KTE115. Its description in RNAcentral is "bacterial LSU rRNA". It matches the Rfam family "Bacterial large subunit ribosomal RNA", at positions 397 to 2925 of the family's 2925-position model. Lineage: Bacteria; Pseudomonadati; Pseudomonadota; Gammaproteobacteria; Enterobacterales; Enterobacteriaceae. The record is from RNAcentral.